GCCGUUUUAGCUCAGGGGUAGAGCAGCUCACUCGUAAUGAGCAGGUCCUCGGUUCAAUUCCGAGAAGCGGCUCCA
This 75-nucleotide transfer RNA is filed under the name Magnetococcales bacterium. RNAcentral describes it as "tRNA-Thr". It matches the Rfam family "tRNA". Rfam says of the family: Transfer RNA (tRNA) molecules are approximately 80 nucleotides in length. Lineage: Bacteria; Pseudomonadati; Pseudomonadota; Magnetococcia; Magnetococcales. The record is from RNAcentral.